RNAcentral lists this ribosomal RNA (497 nucleotides) under uncultured bacterium. RNAcentral's name for it is "partial 16S ribosomal RNA". It matches the Rfam family "Bacterial small subunit ribosomal RNA", at positions 28 to 507 of the family's 1533-position model. The record is from RNAcentral.
GAUGAACGCUGGCGGCGUGCCUAAUACAUGCAAGUCGAGCGAACGGACGAGAAGCUUGCUUUUCUGAUGUUAGCGGCGGACGGGUGAGUAACACGUGGAUAACCUACCUAUAAGACUGGGAUAACUUCGGGAAACCGGAGCUAAUACCGGAUAAUAUUUUGAACCGCAUGGUUCAAAAGUGAAAGACGGUCUUGCUGUCACUUAUAGAUGGAUCCGCGCUGCAUUAGCUAGUUGGUAAGGUAACGGCUUACCAAGGCGACGAUGCAUAGCCGACCUGAGAGGGUGAUCGGCCACACUGGAACUGAGACACGGUCCAGACUCCUACGGGAGGCAGCAGUAGGGAAUCUUCCGCAAUGGUCGAAAGCCUGACGGAGCAACGCCGCGUGAGUGAUGAAGGUCUUCGGAUCGUAAAACUCUGUUAUUAGGUAAGAACAUAUGUGUAAGUAACUGUACACAUCUUGACGGUACCUAAUCAGAAAGCCACGGCUAACUACGUG